GGUAGAGGAGCGUCGUGUAAGCCGACGAAGGUGGAUCGAGAGGUCUGCUGGAGGUAUCACGAGUGCGAAUGCUGACAUGAGUAACGACAAGGGGAGUGAAAAACUCCCCCGCCGGAAGACCAAGGGUUUCUGUUCGACGCUAAUCGGAGCAGAGUGAGUCGGCCCCUAAGGCGAGGCCGAAAGGCGUAGUCGAUGGGAAACGGGUCAAUAUUCCCGUACCUCACAGGAUUGCGAUGGGGGGACGAAGAAGGCUAGGUGAGCCAGGCGUUGGUUGUCCUGGUGAAAGCCAGUAGGCUGAGGGUUCAGGCAAAUCCGGAUCCUCAAGGCCGAGAGGCGAGACGAAGGCACCACGGUGCCGAAGUCAUCGAUGCCACGCUUCCAGGAAAAGCCUCUAAGCUUCAGAUUCUGUGGGACCGUACCCCAAACCGACACAGGUGGUCAGGUAGAGAAUACCCAGGCGCUUGAGAGAACUCGGGUGAAGGAACUAGGCAAAAUGGUGCCGUAACUUCGGGAGAAGGCACGCCGCGCUAGUGUGAAGGCCCUCGCGGCCGGAGCACGAGGCGGUCGAAGAUACCAGGUGGCUGCAACUGUUUAUUAAAAACACAGCACUCUGCAAACGCGCAAGCGGACGUAUAGGGUGUGACGCCUGCCCGGUGCCGGAAGGUUAAUUGAUGGUGUUAGCGCAAGCGAAGCUCCUGAUCGAAGCCCCGGUAAACGGCGGCCGUAACUAUAACGGUCCUAAGGUAGCGAAAUUCCUUGUCGGGUAAGUUCCGACCUGCACGAAUGGCGUAAUGAUGGCCACGCUGUCUCCACCCGAGACUCAGUGAAAUUGAAAUCGCCGUGAAGAUGCGGUGUACCCGCGGCUAGACGGAAAGACCCCGUGAACCUUUACUACAGCUUCACACUGGAUGCUGAUGUUGCUUGUGUAGGAUAGCUGGGAGGCUUGGAACCCCGGACGCCAGUUCGGGUGGAGCCGACCUUGAAAUACCAGCCUGGCAUCAUUGGCGUUCUAACUCAGGUCCGUGAUCCGGAUCGAGGACAGUGUGUGGUGGGUAGUUUGACUGGGGCGGUCUCCUCCCAAAGCGUAACGGAGGAGCACGAAGGUACCCUCAGCACGGUUGGAAAUCGUGCAGUGAGUGCAAGAGCAUAAGGGUGCUUGACUGCGAGACAGACACGUCGAGCAGGUACGAAAGUAGGUUCUAGUGAUCCGGUGGUUCUGUAUGGAAGGGCCAUCGCUCAACGGAUAAAAGGUACUCCGGGGAUAACAGGCUGAUACCGCCCAAGAGUUCACAUCGACGGCGGUGUUUGGCACCUCGAUGUCGGCUCAUCACAUCCUGGGGCUGAAGUCGGUCCCAAGGGUAUGGCUGUUCGCCAUUUAAAGUGGUACGCGAGCUGGGUUUAGAACGUCGUGAGACAGUUCGGUCCCUAUCUGCCGUGGGCGUUGGACGUUUGAGAAGAGCUGCUCCUAGUACGAGAGGACCGGAGUGGACGCACCUCUGGUGUUCCGGUUGUCACGCCAGUGGCAUUGCCGGGUAGCUAUGUGCGGACAGGAUAACCGCUGAAAGCAUCUAAGCGGGAAGCCCCCUUCAAGAUGAGACGUCCCCGAGGCCUCGAGCCUCCUGAAGGGCCCAGCGAGACCAGCUGGUUGAUAGGCCGGGUGUGGAAGCGCUGCAAGGCGUUGAGCUAACCGGUACUAAUGGCCCGUGAGGCUUGACCAUAUAACACCCAAGCGGUCUG
RNAcentral lists this ribosomal RNA (1737 nucleotides) under Halomonas sp. LBP4. Its description in RNAcentral is "bacterial LSU rRNA". It matches the Rfam family "Bacterial large subunit ribosomal RNA", at positions 1227 to 2925 of the family's 2925-position model. The record is from RNAcentral. Lineage: Bacteria; Pseudomonadati; Pseudomonadota; Gammaproteobacteria; Oceanospirillales; Halomonadaceae.